Molecule: unclassified non-coding RNA, 337 nt
Filed under: soil metagenome
Description: partial contains 5.8S ribosomal RNA, internal transcribed spacer 2, and large subunit ribosomal RNA
Rfam family: 5.8S ribosomal RNA (bases 1-120)
Source: RNAcentral
GAUGAAGAACGUAGCAAAAUGCGAUAAGUAAUGCGAAUUGCAGAUUUCAGUGAGUCAUCGAAUCUUUGAACGCACAUUGCGCCCGCCAGUAUUCUGGCGGGCAUGCCUGUUCGAGCGUCAUUUCAACCAUCAAGCCCCCGGGCUUGCGUUGGGGCCCUGCGGCUGCCGCAGGCCCCGAAAAGCAGUGGCGGGCUCGCUGUCACACCGAGCGCAGUAGCGAUUCUCGCUCCGGGCGUCGGCGGCGGGCACCGGCCGUGAAACCCCCCCACAUCCACAAGGUUGACCUCGGAUCAGGUAGGAAUACCCGCUGAACUUAAGCAUAUCAAUAAGCGGAGGA